AUUGAACGCUGGCGGCAUGCCUUACACAUGCAAGUCGAACGGCAGCACGGGUGCUUGCACCUGGUGGCGAGUGGCGAACGGGUGAGUAAUACAUCGGAACAUGUCCUGUAGUGGGGGAUAGCCCGGCGAAAGCCGGAUUAAUACCGCAUACGAUCUACGGAUGAAAGCGGGGGACCUUCGGGCCUCGCGCUAUAGGGUUGGCCGAUGGCUGAUUAGCUAGUUGGUGGGGUAAAGGCCUACCCAGGCGACGAUCAGUAGCUGGUCUGAGAGGACGACCAGCCACACUGGGACUGAGACACGGCCCAGACUCCUACGGGAGGCAGCAGUGGGGAAUUUUGGACAAUGGGGGAAAGCCUGAUCCAGCAAUGCCGCGUGUGUGAAGAAGGCCUGCGGGUUGUAAAGCACCUUUGUCCGGAAAGAAAUCCUUGGCCCUAAUACGGGCGGGGGAUGACGGUACCGGAAGAAUAAGCACCGGCUAACUACGUG
Molecule: ribosomal RNA, 486 nt
Filed under: uncultured bacterium
Lineage: Bacteria
Description: partial 16S ribosomal RNA
Rfam family: Bacterial small subunit ribosomal RNA
Source: RNAcentral